Molecule: ribosomal RNA, 429 nt
Filed under: uncultured bacterium
Lineage: Bacteria
Description: bacterial SSU rRNA
Rfam family: Bacterial small subunit ribosomal RNA
Source: RNAcentral
AACGAACGUUGGCGGCGUGGAUUAGGCAUGCAAGUCGAACGAGAAAGCCACCUUCGGGUGGUUAGUAAAGUGGCGAACGGGUGAGUAACGCGUGGGAAAUCUGCCCUGCAGUUGGGGAUAACACUCCUAACGGGGUGCUAAUACCGAAUGAGACCACGAGAUCGCAUGGUCUUGAGGUUGAAGGUGGCCUCUCCUUGGAAGCUACCGCUGCAGGAGGAUCCCGCGUCCCAUUAGCUUGUUGGCAGGGUAACGGCCUACCAAGGCUUCGAUGGGUAGCUGGUCUGAGAGGAUGGUCAGCCACACUGGGACUGAGAUACGGCCCAGACUCCUACGGGAGGCAGCAGUCGAGAGGCUUCGGCAAUGGGGGAAACCCUGACCGAGCGACGCCGCGUGGGCGAUGAAGGUUGUAAGAUCGUAAAGCCCUGUCAG